This 73-nucleotide transfer RNA is filed under the name Osteopilus septentrionalis (Cuban treefrog). RNAcentral's name for it is "tRNA-Leu". It matches the Rfam family "tRNA". Rfam says of the family: Transfer RNA (tRNA) molecules are approximately 80 nucleotides in length. Their secondary structure includes four short double-helical elements and three loops (D, anti-codon, and T loops). Lineage: Eukaryota; Metazoa; Chordata; Amphibia; Anura; Hylidae. The record is from RNAcentral.
GUUAACGUAGCAAAUCCAGGCAUUGCAAAAGACCUAAACCCUUUCCACAGAGGUUCAAAUCCUCUCGUUAACU